This 305-nucleotide ribosomal RNA is filed under the name uncultured bacterium. RNAcentral's name for it is "bacterial SSU rRNA". It matches the Rfam family "Bacterial small subunit ribosomal RNA", at positions 338 to 641 of the family's 1533-position model. The record is from RNAcentral.
CCUACGGGACGCAGCAGUGAGGAAUAUUGGUCAAUGGUCGGGAGACUGAACCAGCCAAGCCGCGUGAGGGAUGAAGGUACAGAGUAUCGUAAACCUCUUUUGUCAGGGAACAAAGGCGGGGACUCGUCCCCGGAUGAGUGUACCUGAAGAAAAAGCAUCGGCUAACUCCGUGCCAGCAGCCGCGGUAAUACGGAGGAUGCGAGCGUUAUCCGGAUUUAUUGGGUUUAAAGGGUGCGUAGGCGGCCCGUUAAGUCAGCGGUAAAAUUGCGGGGCUCAACCCCGUCGAGCCGUUGAAACUGGCAGAC